UACGGAGGGUGCAAGCGUUAAUCGGAAUUACUGGGCGUAAAGCGCACGCAGGCGGUUUGUCAAGUCGGAUGUGAAAUCCCCGGGCUUAACCCGGGAACUGCAUUUGAAACUGGCAAACUAGAGUAUUGUAGAGGGGGGUAGAAUUCCAGGUGUAGCGGUGAAAUGCGUAGAUAUGUCGAAGAAUACCGGUGGCGAAGGCGGCCCCCUGGACAGAUACUGACACUCAGGUACGAAAGCGUGGGGAGCAAACAGG
This 253-nucleotide ribosomal RNA is filed under the name uncultured bacterium. RNAcentral describes it as "partial 16S ribosomal RNA". It matches the Rfam family "Bacterial small subunit ribosomal RNA", at positions 524 to 776 of the family's 1533-position model. The record is from RNAcentral.